AUAUUUGCCGAAAUAUAUUUAAUAAUGUUUUUAUAAUACGAAUAUUGAAUUUAAAUAGUUUAAAAAACGCUCCUGCCGCUUUCACUGCUAAUCGUCCAGAAACGCCGAUGGAGCACCCUUCUUUUUCUUGGAUUUCGACUGUCCCGCCUUAGUUUUUGCUUCUGGCUUUUUUCCUGCCUUGACGGCUGCGUUCGGUGUGCAACGAACACGAGCAGAAGGUGUUUUG
Drosophila obscura is the source of this 226-nucleotide long non-coding RNA. RefSeq lists it as uncharacterized. The record is from RefSeq and is a predicted model, not a curated record. The transcript is spliced from 2 exons. NCBI's taxonomy places the organism in Eukaryota, Metazoa, Arthropoda, Insecta, Diptera, Drosophilidae.